This 2796-nucleotide long non-coding RNA is filed under the name Canis lupus familiaris (dog). RNAcentral's name for it is "lncRNA (ENSCAFG00000058534.1)". The record is from RNAcentral. Lineage: Eukaryota; Metazoa; Chordata; Mammalia; Carnivora; Canidae.
UUUUUUUAUUUAUUUAUGAUAGUCACAGAGAGAGAGAGAGGCAGAGACACAGGCAGAGGGAGAAGCAGGCCCCAUGCACCGGGAGCCCGACAUGGGAUUCGAUCCUGGGUCUCCAGGAUCACGCCCUGGGCCAAAGGCAGGCGCCAAACCGCUGCGCCACCCAGGGAUCCCGUUUCUUCUCUUUAUAAAUACAGGUCUCCUAUAUUAGAUAUUCAAACUCUUUUAUGGGUUCUGGUGCCUUUCCAAUACACCUCUCACUCCACAAUCACAUUGUCCACCUCACCUUACUGCACAACACUUCACUUUUCUAUCUCUGGUAUCUACUUUGGUCUUCACAAUAAUCUUGUGAGGUAGGGCUGCCAGACAUUGUGUGCAUUUCUGUUUUACCUCCUAUGUGAAAAUUUCUGCUUCUUAUAAAUAGUGUAGUUAUAAGAAAAUUAAUUAUGCUUCAAUAAUUUUAUAGUGCCCAGUGAAAUACCAGGAGAAAUGGUAAGGUGUUAUAAAAACAGAUUGAAGAAUUUCUGACUUAAGAGUAAGAACCAUCUUAGGUAUAUAGUGAAAUAAACCUGGAACCAAGCUAAUAAGAAAGAGAGUGGCAUUGAGUAAGUGCCAAAAAAUCCUGGAGCUACACAUAAAAUAAUGCCAUAUGAGGUUUCUCAGCCUCUUCUAUGUUUUUCAUGCAUGCCUCUCAGGCCACAUAUUGAUCGUUAAUUACACAUCGUUUGCACUCACACUUCCAUUGACCCAAACUAGUUAUGACAUCCCAAACUAACCACACUGCUGAAAUAUGUAGAGGAACAUAUAGAGUGUUUGGUGAAUACUAUGUGCUAUGAAUAUGCAGAAUGAUUUUAAUUCUUAGAGAGUCAGAGCUGAAAAAAUAUUUUAGGAAACAUCUCAUCUAGUCUUCUUCCAUAUAGAAACAGAGGUUAAAACAUUGCAUGACUUGACCAAAGUUGCAUAUCCAAGGAGUGACUAAAGGAAGAGUUGCCUUCACAAUUAACAGUAUUUAUUGAGGUCUUGAUAUGUGCCAAGCAGUAUGACAAUACAUUGUUGUGCCUUAUCUCCCUAAGCCCCCACACUACCCCUAUGAGGAAGACACUGUUAUUAUCUUCAUUUUAAGGAUGAAAAAAUUAGGGGUCCUUGGGUAGCUCAGUUGGUUAAGUGACUGCCUUUAGCUCAGGUCGUGAUCCCAGGGUCCCAGGAUCAAGUCCCGUAUCAGGCUCCCUGGGAGCCUGCUUCCCCCUGCCUCUGCCUCUCUCUCUCUCUCUCUCUCUCUCUCUCCUCUCCCUCAAAUAAAUAAAUAAAAUCUUUGAAAAAAAUAAAGAUAAGAUAAUUAAAGCUUAGAAAAGACAGGUAAAACAUUUAAGAUCACAUAGUUCUUAAAUGGUAGAAGGGAGACUUAAACCCAGGAUGCCUAUGAUCAAAAUGCCAACAUGCAAUCUACCAGUAGAUGGCUACUCUUUUUGUUCUGGUUACCAAAUCCUCCAUCUGAAAAUACCAACAGACUACAUGGCUUUGGGAUUAAAUAUAAAAGUCCUCAUCAAAAAAUAAUGUUACAGGGAUGCCUGGGUGGCUUAGCAGUUGGGCGUCUGCCUUCAGCCCAGGGCAUGAUCCUGGAGUCCCGGGACUAAGUCCCACAUCAGGAUCCCUGCAUGGAGCCUGCUUCUCUCUCUGCCUGUGUCUCUGACUCUCUCAAUGUAUCUCAUGAAUAAAUAAAUAAAAUUUUUAAAAAUUGAUGCUACAGGUAUCUUAAGACCAAAACUAUUCCAAUAUCCUUACUUAUCUAGAAGACAGGUUGAAGUUGCUUGUGAAAGCAGAAAGAAAGCAGUGAUGAUAAAUAUAAACAAAUCAGACUGGAUCCUCAUGGUGGAACUUGCUCCUGGCUAUGAACAGGGUUUUUCUUUUAAGGCAUAUGAAUAUUUUCUGUCAUAUGAGAAGUAGCCAAUACAGAGCACCAGAUAAUGAACAUUAACUUAUACACGCAGGGUAGAUAAAUGGAGAAAACAAAUAAUGCUUAAGAAGCAAAUACUAAAUCAAGUAUUAUGGUAAUUUCUUGUGGUUCUUGACAGCAGUGCUUGGAGGUUGAGUUAUAAUUGUUCACAUCUGCUCAUCAGGUCAGAGAGUAGGCAUCAAUGCCUAGAGUUUUUGUUUUGAGACAUUGGAUAUUUUGUCAUCAACACACAAUUCUUCAUUUAUAAUGAAAAAGACAAGAUUAGAUUACAGAAUUGUUUCUAAUCAAGAUUAAAUUAUAUGAUGUGUUUUGUGCAGUACCUGGAAUAUAAUAGGCACUCAAUAAAUAGAAAUUGAUGCUAUUGUUCUUCUUCUAAUUAUUAUUACACACCUUCACCAGAGAAUCAUACAGAACCAGUUUUCCCCCACUUUCAACUUUGUUGUUAUUGCAAGAUUCUUUAUCCCAGUACAGAGUGACAAUUUCACUCAGGAGAAAUUGGAUAUGAUUUAAAAACUACUCAUCCUAUUUAUUUAACUGAAGUGACUGCUUGCCUGUUUGAAUUCACCAAACUGCCAGGUUUAGAUCCAGCUUGCAGUUAGAGGCCACCAAUAGGAAGGCACAGGCCCACACAGUUCCUAAAACAUAUGGAUACAGGCCAGGAUAAACAUGAGAUAAUUAACUGAGUAUCAGUCCAAAUAACUGUUUUGGAGGAAAAAUAAGUUCCUGUUAUCUAGUCUUGAUGAAGUCUCCUGGGGAAGGAAACAUGCUGUCCAGGAAAAACCAGUGUAGUUGUCAUCAGAAGAACUGGUAGGAGUCCCAACUCUUGUUAUUAAUUUGUUAAGAAC